This 534-nucleotide long non-coding RNA is filed under the name Oreochromis niloticus (Nile tilapia). RNAcentral describes it as "lncRNA (ENSONIG00000040775.1)". The record is from RNAcentral. Lineage: Eukaryota; Metazoa; Chordata; Actinopteri; Cichliformes; Cichlidae.
GGCAAACUUUUAAUUUAUGUUGCUGUCACUUAAGUUACAAAAUGUAUUGUUUAUAGAAGGAUUUCCUACAACCUGUUUCAUAAUCACAGUAUAUGAAAAACAUCCUAAUAACCGAUACAGAUAAAACUGCUUCUGAUAAGAUAAAUGGCAUAUGCAGAAUACUUAACAACAACCAUAACAUAAUCUAAACAGACUACUGAAGAAAUAAAAACCUAUCACAGAUAACUACACUGACUAUUACUGACCUUAAAUUUCAAUUUACUUUUCAGUUUUCUGCUGUAAAGAAGGUGCUGUCGGGAAAACAACACGUUCCCCUUAAAAACCUCCAGCUGAAGGAGGAUGGGUUUACCAUGGCAGUCUGCCUCUGGAGGGAGGCAGCUGUUAACAGCGUGAACGUGGGAGACCACAUCAGUCUCUCUCACGUUAAGCAGAAACAGUCCUCAUAUGGAAUACAGCUUCACAGUACAGCAUUUACACAGAUUGAGGUAUGAAGAAGCUAAACCUUUGUUUGUCUUAUCAUCAAAUGUUUAAAAC